Molecule: long non-coding RNA, 319 nt
Filed under: Cyanistes caeruleus (blue tit)
Lineage: Eukaryota; Metazoa; Chordata; Aves; Passeriformes; Paridae
Description: lncRNA (ENSCCEG00000013716.1)
Source: RNAcentral
AUUGUAAGUAACUGCCUAAGACCACGCUAAGUUUGCAAUCGAUAAUGUGCCAAUUUUCUUUCUAAUUGCUUUGCCACAGCUCUUGGAAAGCUGCAAUAUGCUGGAUAUAGGUUGUUUUCAAAGAGGAGUUACAGGCACAUCAGGGAGCCAACAGUUUGCUAACCUGGGACAUGCAGAUGUACGGCUGUGCCAAACAGAAAGGGUGGAGAGGCAGAAUUCUGGAAGACAGUAGACAUGAGAUUCUCCAGCUGUUCCCUUGUUUGCUCCUUGGUGCUACAUACUACCACCACAUCUGGUGAAGAUUCAUUCAGGUAUGAAU